GACGAACGCUGGCGGCGUGCUUAACACAUGCAAGUCGAACGGAAAGGCCCUGCUUUUGUUGGGUGCUCGCGUGGCGAACGGGUGCGUCACACGUGCGUCACCUGCCCUUUACUUUGGGCUAACUUCAGGAAACUGGGGCUAAUACCGGAUAGGUGCUCCUGCUGCAUGGUGGGGGUUGGAACGUUUCGGCGGUUGGGGAUUGACUCGCGUCUUCUCAGCCUGUUGGUGGGGUCGUGCCUUCCCAAGGCUUUCACGGUUAGCCGUCCUGCAGGGGUGACCGACCUCAUUGAUACUGAGAUACGGCCCAGACUCCUACGGGAGGCAGCAGUGAGGAAUAUUGCACAAUGGGCGGAAGCCUGAUGCAGCAACGCCGCGUGCGGAGUGACGACCGUCGGGUUGUAAACCGCUUUCGCCUGAGACAAAGCGUGAGUGACGGUAAUGAGUAAAGAAGGACCGGCUAACUACGUG
Molecule: ribosomal RNA, 468 nt
Filed under: uncultured bacterium
Lineage: Bacteria
Description: partial 16S ribosomal RNA
Rfam family: Bacterial small subunit ribosomal RNA
Source: RNAcentral